RNAcentral lists this ribosomal RNA (479 nucleotides) under uncultured bacterium. RNAcentral's name for it is "partial 16S ribosomal RNA". It matches the Rfam family "Bacterial small subunit ribosomal RNA", at positions 28 to 523 of the family's 1533-position model. The record is from RNAcentral.
GACGAACGCUGGCGGCGUGCUUAACACAUGCAAGUCGAACGGUGAAAGCGGAGCUUGCUCCGCUGGAUCAGUGGCGAACGGGUGAGUAACACGUGGGCAACCUGCCCCUCACUUCGGGAUAACUCCGGGAAACCGGGGCUAAUACCGGAUAUGACCUCCUUGGGCAUCCUUGGAGGUGGAAAGUUUUUCGGUGAGGGAUGGGCGCGCGGCCUAUCAGCUUGUUGGUGAGGUAGUGGCUCACCAAGGCGACGACGGGUAGCCGGCCUGAGAGGGCGACCGGCCAGAGGGAAACUGAGACACGGUUCCCACUCCUACGGGAGGCAGCAGUAAAGAAUCUUCCGCAAUGGACGAAAGUCUGACGGAGCGACGCCGCGUGCAGGAUGAAGGCCUUCGGGUUGUAAACUGCUUUUCUGAAAGAAUAAUUCUGAAGGUAUUUCAGGAAUAAGUACCGGCAAACCUCGUGCCAGCCGCCGCCGUAA